GCCUGGGUAGUACAAAUGUUUAAGUGCUUGGCUACUAACCAAAAAGUUGGUGGUUCGAAUCCACCCAGAGGCC
This 73-nucleotide transfer RNA is filed under the name Loxodonta africana (African savanna elephant). It matches the Rfam family "tRNA". Rfam says of the family: Transfer RNA (tRNA) molecules are approximately 80 nucleotides in length. The record is from Rfam by way of RNAcentral. Lineage: Eukaryota; Metazoa; Chordata; Mammalia; Proboscidea; Elephantidae.